Molecule: long non-coding RNA, 492 nt
Filed under: Nicotiana benthamiana
Lineage: Eukaryota; Viridiplantae; Streptophyta; Magnoliopsida; Solanales; Solanaceae
Description: long non-coding RNA (NBEN_LNC041023)
Source: RNAcentral
AUACUACUGAGGUAAAUUACUAUAUUUCUUCCUCCUCCCAUCACCUUUUUAUGUGAUUAUAUUGAUUGGUGGUUGGUUCCCUUUUGUCUGUCAGUACUCUUUUGCCCACGUUUUUUUUUUUUCAAUUUGUAUGCGUGGCACUCUGCUUGUCUACUAAUUUUUGUCCUCCUCCCACCACCUUUUUAUGUGAUUAUAUUGAUUGGUGGUUGCUUCCCUUUUGUCUGUCAGUACUCUUUUGCCCAAGUGUGAUUUUUUUUUCAUUUGUAUGCGUUGCACUCUGUUUCUUGAAUAUUUUUGGUUGAUGAUGUGUGGUGACAUUUGUGUGUGUUACCUAGUUGUAAAGUAUGCUUAAUAUUCAGUGACUUUUCGUGGUGUAUGCUGGGUUAGACUAUGACCUGGUUGUGGAUAUACUUAAUGUGCAGUAGGGUUUAAUAAGACAGACAAGGUCAGAAAUGUGAUAAAAUGGGAGGAAGGCAAGAACCAUUAAAGCAG